This 86-nucleotide transfer RNA is filed under the name Candidatus Uhrbacteria bacterium RIFCSPHIGHO2_01_FULL_63_20. RNAcentral describes it as "tRNA-Tyr". It matches the Rfam family "tRNA". From Rfam's summary of the family: Transfer RNA (tRNA) molecules are approximately 80 nucleotides in length. Lineage: Bacteria; Candidatus Uhriibacteriota. The record is from RNAcentral.
GGGCAGAUACCGAAGUGGUCAAACGGGGGAGACUGUAAAUCUCCUGGCUCACGCCUUCGAAGGUUCGAACCCUUCUCUGCCCACCA